GAGGAAGUGGUGGAGGACUGAAGAGGUGGAGGAAGUGUUGGAGGACGAAGAGGCGAUUGAAGAGGUGGAUGAGGUGGUGGAGGAAGAACAGGAGGGAACAAUGAAAAUGAAUAACAUUGACAGCACUGAGAGAGCAAGACCAAAACGCAGGUGGUGGACACCAAGGUGUUUAAAAAGAAGCAGCGUGAGGAACAGCAUCAAAAAGAGCAGCAGCAACAGAUUAACAAGAUUCCUUCGGGUCUUUUGCUGUUGUUUCAAAGUUGACAACAGGAUAAGAAGUUUGUAAGAUCUCUGGUCCUCAGCAUCACCUAAAAAUAAUCGCCCUCAAUAAUGCCCUGCUGUCC
Molecule: long non-coding RNA, 344 nt
Organism: Bufo gargarizans (Asiatic toad)
Lineage: Eukaryota; Metazoa; Chordata; Amphibia; Anura; Bufonidae
Exons: 4
Source: RefSeq, a predicted model, not a curated record